Molecule: long non-coding RNA, 3198 nt
Filed under: Sus scrofa (pig)
Lineage: Eukaryota; Metazoa; Chordata; Mammalia; Artiodactyla; Suidae
Description: lncRNA (ENSSSCG00040028249.1)
Source: RNAcentral
CCUGCUAUCAGACCAUACCUGUUUAAUAGAACAUUUCAGCUAAGAAAAGCAACAGAUUUUCAUGUGUUGAUUUUAUAUCUCAAAAUUUGCUGAAUUUUUAAAUUAGCUCUGACAGUUUUGAAUGUUGGAAUCUUUAGAAUUAGGACAUAAAACAUCAUGUCAUGUACAAACAGAGAUAAUUUUCCUUCUUUCUUUCCAAUUUGAAUAUCUGUUGUAUAUUUUUCCUGCCAAAUGGCUUUUCUUGGAACUUCCAGUAUUGUGUAAGCUAGAAGUGGCACAGUGAGCAUCCUCCUUUCUCUUCCUAACCUUAGGUGAAACACUUUCAGAAUUUCAUCAUCAACUAUGCUAUCAGCUGUGGCUUCUUCAUAUGUGACUUCAGCUAUUGGGAUAUGUCCAUCUAUUCCUACUUUAUUGAUUGUUUUUAAUCAUGAAAAUGUGUUCACCUUUGUCAAAUGCUUGUUCUGCAUCAAACAAAAUGAUCUUUUAUUUCUCCUCUUCCUUCAGUUACUGAAGUGGUAAAAUACAUUGUUUGAUUUUCACAAAUCCCAACUGGUCCUGGUGCAUAAUUCUUUUAAUGUGCCAUUGAAUUGGGUGCUAAAUUUUGUUAAGAAUUGCUGCAAUAAUAGUCCAAGAGAUGUUUGUCUGUAUUUUUCUCGUUAUGCCUUUGGUUGGUAUCAGGAUAAUGCCUGAGAAUGAAUUUCAAUAGGAUUCAAUAGGAUUCAGAAAUUUUUUGGGAAGAAUUUGAAGAGGAAUGUUAGUUUUCUUUAAAAGUGUGAAAGCAUUCCCCAGGGAAGACAAGUGGUCUGGAGCCUUUCUAUGUCGGGAGGCUUUUGAUUAUUGACUGAAUCUUCUUACUAGUUAUUGGCCUACUCUCAUUUUCUGUUUCUUCCUGAUUCAACACCUUGGUUUUCUGCUUUUUUGGGAAUGUGUCCAUUUUCUCUAGGUUAUCCAAUUGUUUGGUGUUCAUUUGUUCACAGUACUCUUUUAUACUCCCUUUCAUUUCUGUAAAAUUAUUCGUAUAUGUUCUUUUAUUUCCAAUUUUAGUUCUUUGAGUGUUCUCUCUCUCUUUGUUUUCCCCUUAGUCAAUCUAGCCAAAGUUUUGUCAACUGUGUUGUUAUUUUUGAAGGACCACUCUUGGUUUUGUUGAUUUUCUCUGUUGUUUUUCUAUUCACAUUUUAGUUUUCUCUCCACUAAUCUUGACUAUUUCCUUUCUUCUGCUAACUUUAGGUUUGGGGUUUAUUUGACGCUUCUUUUUCUAGUUUCUUCGAAUAUACUGUAAACUUACUGAUUUAUGAUCUUUUUUAACUGUCUGCAUUUUCAGUUAUUAAUUUCCUUUAUUAAUUUUCUUUUAGAGCUGCUUUCUGUGCACUUCACACGUUUUGAUAUUAUGUGUUUAUGAUUUUUAUUUUUUUGUCUUUUUAGGGCUGCACUCACAGCAUAUGAAAAUUCCCAGGCUAGAGGUUGAAUCAGGCUAGAGGUCAAAUCAGAGCUACAGCUGCUGGCUUAUGCCACAGCCACAGCAACGAGGGAUCUGAGCCGUGCCUAAAACCUAUACCACAGCUCAGAGCAACACUAGAUUCUUGACCCACUGAGUGAGCCCAGAGGUCGAACCUGAGUCCUCAUGGAUGCUAAUUGGGUUCAUUUCUGCUGCACCACAAUGGGAACUCCGGAUGUUGUUUGAUUUCUCUGUAUCCAGGACCAUUUUUUUUUUCUGUUAGUGAUUAAGUUUAAUUUUACAAAGUGUUUGACCAGUAGGCUGCACAAAGAGCCCUUCUCUCAGAUUCCAGUAAACUGUUUUGUCAUUCAUCCUGGGUGCCAAUGACACAUGCGUAUACUACUGUUAUGGCAACUGGCUUCUGUAACUAUCAGAACAGAUGUGUGUGGUAGACAGAAAAGAGCCCCCCUCCUCAAGAGAUUUAUGUCUUAAUACUCACCUGUAUUACUUUACACGUUUACUUUACACGGCAAAAGAGAUUUUUCAGAAAUGAUUAAGAUUCUUGCUAUUUGGAGAAUACCCUAGGUUAUCAAGAUGGCCCAAUAGCAGUGAUGAUGGGGAUAAAAUAAGAUAAUUAGUUAGUUUAAACAUCCCACUAGGGGAUUAAAAACAGAAAGGGAAUUUUUAGGGAGUUUGGGAGAGUGUCAUAAGCUAAUGACCACCCAGGAAAAGACUGCAGUAACCAAGCAAACAUCUACACUACCUUGAAGGAAGACCAAGAACCUCUAGGCUUCAGACACACUGGAGCCGCAAACCAGAUAGAAUAUAGGACAAUCGAUGUGGCAUCUGAAUCUUUUUACAUGAAGUCAAGGAGUUAAUGGUCCUGGAAGACCAGCAUUUCUGCAUAUAUUCAAGAUAAAAAUAUAGGUGAAAGGAGAAAAAAAAGAAAAAGCUAGCAAGAGGGGACAUUAUACCAAAACCUGAGAUGAAGUACCAUAUUUUAGUAUAUAGUACCACCCUUUUGCUAAUAAACCAUGACAUUCUGGUUAAACCAUAUAGGGUCAGAGGAGGAACUAAAAAUAUAAGCCUUGACAUCUCCCCCCAAAUGAGGAAGAAGGUGGUCUUCUCCCCUCCCCACUUUUUCUUGGACUAUGAAAAGGGAGCCUCUUCCUCUGCCAGUCUGCUUCUGUCUCUCACAAGCAUCCUAUGCUAAUAAGACUCACUCUCUGCCUACCACUUUGCCUCACGCUCAAUUCAUUCUGUGAUGAAACAAAAGAACCCGAGUUUCAGUAAGUCCUGACACCAGGUGAGUGGUUUCAACUAGAAGCCCGUGGGUUUGAGUCCCUUCCUAGUCGGAGAUGGUGGAUUUGAGUCCCAAUUUGAGUUUUGGCUGGGUUCAAAGCCCAUCAGAGAAGGAGUUGGCUUUGUAAUCACAAGGAAUGCAAAAAUGGAGAAAUACAACUGACAGUGGAGGCAAGAUUGGAGCAAUAGGAAGGUGGAAACCAUGAGACGGGGAGCAGAAACAGUCUCAAAAGUUUGGAAAGGAGUUCCCGUCGUGGCUCAAUGGUUAACGAAUCCGACUAGGAACCACGAGGUUGCAGGUUCCAUCCCUGGCCUCGCUCAGUGGGUUAAGGAUCUGGGGUUGCUGUGAGCUGAGCUGUGGUGUAGGUUGCAGAAGUGGCUAGGAUCCCGCAUAGCUGUGAUUGUGGCGUAAGCCAGCGGCUACAGCUCUAAUUACACCCCUAGCCUGGGAACCUCCAUGU